CUCUUCAGGGCAGGGUGAGAUCCCCGACCGGCGGUGAGAGUCCGCGAGCCUUCGGGCCGACCCGGUGCGAUUCCGGGACCGACAGUACAGUCUGGAUGAAAGAAGA
RNAcentral lists this non-coding RNA (106 nucleotides) under bovine gut metagenome. RNAcentral describes it as "FMN riboswitch (RFN element)". It matches the Rfam family "FMN riboswitch aptamer (RFN element)". Rfam says of the family: The RFN element is a highly conserved domain that is found frequently in the 5'-untranslated regions of prokaryotic mRNAs that encode for flavin mononucleotide (FMN) biosynthesis and transport proteins. This element is a metabolite-dependent riboswitch that directly binds FMN in the absence of proteins. The record is from RNAcentral.